CGAGCGGACAGAAGGGAGCUUGCUCCCGGAUGUUAGCGGCGGACGGGUGAGUAACACGUGGGUAACCUGCCUGUAAGACUGGGAUAACUCCGGGAAACCGGAGCUAAUACCGGAUAGUUCCUUGAACCGCAUGGUUCAAGGAUGAAAGACGGUUUCGGCUGUCACUUACAGAUGGACCCGCGGCGCAUUAGCUAGUUGGUGAGGUAACGGCUCACCAAGGCGACGAUGCGUAGCCGACCUGAGAGGGUGAUCGGCCACACUGGGACUGAGACACGGCCCAGACUCCUACGGGAGGCAGCAGUAGGGAAUCUUCCGCAAUGGACGAAAGUCUGACGGAGCAACGCCGCGUGAGUGAUGAAGGUUUUCGGAUCGUAAAGCUCUGUUGUUAGGGAAGAACAAGUGCAAGAGUAACUGCUUGCACCUUGACGGUACCUAACCAGAAAGCCACGGCUAACUACGUGCCAGCAGCCGCGGUAAUACGUAGGUGGCAAGCGUUGUCCGGAAUUAUUGGGCGUAAAGGGCUCGCAGGCGGUUUCUUAAGUCUGAUGUGAAAGCCCCCGGCUCAACCGGGGAGGGUCAUUGGAAACUGGGAAACUUGAGUGCAGAAGAGGAGAGUGGAAUUCCACGUGUAGCGGUGAAAUGCGUAGAGAUGUGGAGGAACACCAGUGGCGAAGGCGACUCUCUGGUCUGUAACUGACGCUGAGGAGCGAAAGCGUGGGGAGCGAACAGGAUUAGAUACCCUGGUAGUCCACGCCGUAAACGAUGAGUGCUAAGUGUUAGGGGGUUUCCGCCCCUUAGUGCUGCAGCUAACGCAUUAAGCACUCCGCCUGGGGAGUACGGUCGCAAGACUGAAACUCAAAGGAAUUG
This 867-nucleotide ribosomal RNA is filed under the name Bacillus aerophilus. RNAcentral describes it as "bacterial SSU rRNA". It matches the Rfam family "Bacterial small subunit ribosomal RNA", at positions 63 to 912 of the family's 1533-position model. The record is from RNAcentral. Lineage: Bacteria; Bacillati; Bacillota; Bacilli; Caryophanales; Bacillaceae.